This 238-nucleotide long non-coding RNA is filed under the name Manihot esculenta (cassava). RNAcentral's name for it is "long non-coding RNA (MESC_LNC005895)". Lineage: Eukaryota; Viridiplantae; Streptophyta; Magnoliopsida; Malpighiales; Euphorbiaceae. The record is from RNAcentral.
AUGAUAUAUAUAUUAGGGUGCUUGCAUUAGAAUUCACGAAUAUGUCGCAUUGCACUUUAUGUUGUUGAUGUGGAUGAAUGUUGAAUGAUCCAUUAGCCCUUAUAUGGUAAGACAUGAUAGACUAUGGAAGCCCGGGUGAGCCUGCACUACGCCCCCGGCAUGAAUGGAUAUGUAUGUAUACUAUGGAAGUCCAGGUGUGCCUGCACUACGCCCCUGGCAUGAUUGGACUGUAUAGAGG